AGAUUGAAUGCUGACGGCGUGGAUGAGGCAUGCAAGUCGAACGAAGUUAGGGGGCAACUCUUAGCUUAGUGGCGGAAGGGUUAGUAAUACAUGGAUAAUCUGCCUUUUACCUGGGGAUAACGGCUGGAAACGGCCGCUAAUACCGAAUGAGACCUAGCAAGGCAUCUUGCGAAGAUCAAAGUUGGGGAUUCUGUAAAGAACCUAGCGGUAAAAGAGGAGUCCAUGGGAUAUCAGCUAGUUGGUGUGGUAAUGGCGCACCAAGGCUAAGACGUCUAGGCGGAUUGAGAGAUUGACCGCCAACAUUGGGACUGAGAUACUGCCCAGACUCCUACGGGAGGCUGCAGUCGAGGAUCAUUCGCAAUGGGCGAAAGCCUGACGGUGCGACGCCGUGUGAACGAAGAAGGCCUUCGGGUUGUAAAGUUCUUUCGCUCGGGAACAAGGGGAAUAUAUGAAUAAUAUAUUUUCUUGAUGGUACUGGGUAAAGAAGCACUGGCUAACUCCGUGCCAGCAGCUGCGGUAAUACGGAGGGUGCAAGCAUUAAUCGGAUUUAUUGGGCGUAAAGGGCGCGUAGGCUUCUCUGCAAGUCAGAUGUGAAAUUCCGGGACUUAAUCUCGGAGCGGCAUUUGAGACUACAGGGAUGGAGGGUAAGCGGAGAAAGUGGAAUUCCACGUGUAGCGGUGAAAUGCGUAGAUAUGUGGAGGAACACCGGUGGCGAAGGCGACUUUCUAGUUUAUACCUGACGCUGAGGCGCGAAAGCAAGGGGAGCAAACAGGAUUAGAUACCCUGGUAGUCCUUGCUGUAAACGAUGCAUACUUGAUGGAGCUAGGCUCAACCCUAGCUGUGUCGUAGCGAACGCGGUAAGUAUGCCGCCUGGGGAGUACACUCGCAAGGGUGAAACUCAAAAGAAUUGACGGGGACCCGCACAAGCAGUGGAGCAUGUGGUUUAAUUCGAUCCACGCGAAGAACCUUACCUGGAUUUGACAUGCAGAGGACGUGAUCUGAAAGGAUCAUUCCCGCGAGGGUCUCUGCACAGGUGCUGCAUGGCUGUCGUCAGCUCGUGCCGUGAGGUGUUGGGUUAAGUCCCGCAACGAGCGCAACCCUUAUCGUUAGUUGCCAACAUUUCGGAUGGGUACUCUAACGAGACUGCCUGGGUGAACCAGGAGGAAGGUGAGGAUGACGUCAAGUCCGCAUGGCCUUUAUAUCCAGGGCUACACACGUGCUACAAUGGUCGGUACAGAAGGCGGCGAAACUGUGAAGUGGAGCAAAUCCUAGAAAGCCGAUCUCAGUUCGGAUUGUAGUCUGCAACUUGGCUACAUGAAGCUGGAAUUGCUAGUAAUGGCGUGUCAGCAACAACGCCGUGAAUACGUUCCCGGGUCUUGUACACACCGCCCGUCAAAUCAUGGGAGUUGGUUUUACUCGAAGUCGCUGGCUCAACCGCAAGGGGAGAAGCGCCAAAGGUGAGGCCGAUGACUGGGAUUACGUCGGAACAAGGUA
This 1494-nucleotide ribosomal RNA is filed under the name metagenome. RNAcentral describes it as "bacterial SSU rRNA". It matches the Rfam family "Bacterial small subunit ribosomal RNA". The record is from RNAcentral.